GCAGAUAUUUUUUCAUAUGUGUCACAACAGAUUAAUUAAUUCAACAACUAUUCAGUGACUCCUACCAUAUUUUAGGCAUUAUUUUAGAUUCUGUUUUUUGUAAUGACCAAGAUAGCAUGUUCCCUGCCCUCAAGAAGCUCACAUUCUGUUUGGGAAGGCAGUCACACAACCUGAGAAGCUCAAUAAAAGUCUGUAUCUGAUGAAUUUGAUGGCAUUUGCAAUAUAGUGUAUUGAUGUGAAAAUGGAACACAGGAGAGGAGAAGAAAGUGAAAUUGACUGGAAAUGAGUGGUCAUAGAAAAAACAGAACACCGGGAGAGUGGGCUCUUUGUGUGUGUGUGAACAUGCUCCUUGAACUUGACAAUUCCAACUGUAUCUCUGUAGUAUAAUUUGAAGUAAGGUAAUGUGCUUCCUCCAGUUUUGUUCUUUUUGCUUAGGAUAGCUUUGGCUAUU
RNAcentral lists this long non-coding RNA (451 nucleotides) under Homo sapiens (human). RNAcentral's name for it is "non-protein coding lnc-NUDT11-5:1". Lineage: Eukaryota; Metazoa; Chordata; Mammalia; Primates; Hominidae. The record is from RNAcentral.